Molecule: transfer RNA, 67 nt
Filed under: Hemifusus tuba
Lineage: Eukaryota; Metazoa; Mollusca; Gastropoda; Neogastropoda; Melongenidae
Description: tRNA-Trp
Source: RNAcentral
AAGGUUUUAAGUUAAGUAAAACUAUGAGCCUUCAAAGCUUAAUAUAAAGAUAGAUCUUUAAACCUUG